Non-coding RNA from Acanthosepion pharaonis, 104 nucleotides. NCBI's taxonomy places the organism in Eukaryota, Metazoa, Mollusca, Cephalopoda, Sepiida, Sepiidae. The record is from the annotation of a GenBank genome assembly.
UUACGGCCACACCACACUGGCACACCAGUUCUCAUACGGCCACAAAAGUUAAGCAAUGUUGAGCCUGGUCAGUACCUAGAUAGGUGACUGUUUGGGAAUACUAG